ACUUACAGCCAUCUUCAAACAACAACAACAACAACAACUACCCAGUAUAUUCCCACAAACUUACAACCAUCUUCAAACUAUUCUAAAUAUUCAAGAGAAAGUUCCAACUAUAGAACUGGCAUAAGCACUAACCGGGAGACCACCAUCUGCAUCUAUAGUUGUAAGAAUGUUAAUGCUGUCCAUGUCCCAAAAUUUUAUCUGGCUAUCUUCACCCACAGCCAAGAAAUGAUUCUGUGUAGUGUCAAACUGCACAACACCAGCUGACUUUUUUCUAAACCCAGUAUAAGUCCUCUUUAUGGCUCCUUCACUUUCAUUCCAUUCCACAAGAAAAGAAUCACCUUCUUUACCAGUUCUUUUUUCUAAACCCAGUGUAGGUCCUCUUUAUGGCUCCUUCACUUUCAUUCCAUUCCACAAGAAAAGAAUCACCUUCUUUACCAGUUCCACACGAGAACAAUCUA
Molecule: long non-coding RNA, 458 nt
Filed under: Nicotiana benthamiana
Lineage: Eukaryota; Viridiplantae; Streptophyta; Magnoliopsida; Solanales; Solanaceae
Description: long non-coding RNA (NBEN_LNC039446)
Source: RNAcentral